Molecule: long non-coding RNA, 657 nt
Organism: Homo sapiens (human)
Lineage: Eukaryota; Metazoa; Chordata; Mammalia; Primates; Hominidae
Source: Ensembl
AUAGUCAGCUAACUCCCCGGGACCUGCUUCGGAUCCCUGGAGGGCUGAGGAUUGAAUUCAGGAGCCUAGGGAUUCUCCGGGUCCUGCAGGCAGAGCUCCAACUGGUGGGUGAAAGUUACAAGGAGGCAGGUUUCUGAAGGAAGCCCUGUGUAAUAAUCAGAGCUGCCCAGCCUGUAUCUAAAAGUGGUCAAGAUGCGGGCUGAAGCGUCACGGGUCAGGAAUGCUGCACAGGAGAGUCUACGGACAGGCUAGAUGACCCUUAGCAUGGAGGGAGAGGACCCCCGACAUCUGUCAGCUCUGCAGUGCUCGUGGUUCCGUCAUGGUGGAGCUGCCGAGUGACCCGCUGGCCUCCCUGAGCUGGGCUUGACCAUAUGUACGAAGGAAAGAAAAGGCAUCCCAUGGAUGUCUCCUAGUUCCCUCACUGUGGCCCAGUGUUGUAUAUCAACGUCAUCAUGGAUACACCUCCUGUGGGAGGUGAUUAGGCCAUGAGGGUGGAGCCCUCGUGAAUGGAAUUGGUGCCCUUAUAGAAGGGACCCUGGACCCUGGACCUCCACUCUGCAAGGAUACAGUGAGAAGGCAGAACCCAGCCUCAGGUACACUCAUCUCAGACUUGCAGCCUCCUGAACUGUGAGAAAUAAAUGUUUGUUGUCUGUGGUA